This is a long non-coding RNA of Hyaena hyaena (striped hyena), 1042 nucleotides long. RefSeq lists it as uncharacterized. The record is from RefSeq and is a predicted model, not a curated record. Lineage: Eukaryota; Metazoa; Chordata; Mammalia; Carnivora; Hyaenidae. The transcript is spliced from 2 exons.
UGGAUUGGAUCUAAGGAGGAUCUAAGGAGGCCAGCAAAAAGACGCAAACUAUACCAGCCUGAGACUAAAGUAGAAAAUCGGAUCAAAUCCGACUGGAGAGUUACAUAAGGAAUGCCGGGACGCAUGCCCAGUAUUAAUGAAGACAGCAGAAAGGAAGGCAUGAGAUUGGCCCUGCUCCAGAGCUGACAGAGAGUGUGGAUCCUGAGUGGUUCCUGGAGACCUGGAGAGGCCCGAACAAGGCAAAACAAGCAGGCCCUGGGGUCACGCACGAGGCUUGGUGGGGCAGACAGAUGCUGAAAAGGCUUGGGAGAGAAUUUCUGCUGGGAAAAACAGCCUCAAUAUCAUCUCUUUUGUAAUCACAUAUCUUUUUCACCACCUGAGAAAGGCAAUUUUGCUCCAGACUAAAAGGGUGUCCCCAGAGGUAGAUAUGCAUAUGGUGGCACAGGACCUGGCCCGCUCUCUCUCACAUACCCUGAGUUGACAGGAAACAUUAGGUGACCAGGGCAAAGCCAGAACUAUGUCUCAUGAAAGGAGCCGAUGCUGUAUCUCUAGGUGUGUGACCAAAUCCCCCAGCGCCUCUCAGAAUUACCCCUCAGAUCAGAAGCCCUGCCAGGUCACAAGCAGGGGAAGCCUUGACUGGUACAGGAGGCCACGCCACCAUCAAAUUAAAAGCCAGUGGAAGGUUUGUCUUCAUCUCAGUUUGAAAAAUGGGUAGAAACUGGUCAUUGGCUCUUGUUUCUCAGAGAGCAUCAUCCAGGGGCUUCUGGUUUCAGAACUUUUUAAAUUCCUCAAUCCUUCCAAACUGACCAGCUCCUUUUAAGUUUUCGCUCGCUCCAGUGAAACUGGAACAAAUCAUCAAUCCUAUCAAACCAACUGACCAUCUCAAGGCUGUGGAUCUCUGCAGGAUUUGGAAAAUAACAACAGAGGCUCCCUGGGUGCACAAAGUAACCCAAGGGUGAUGGUGCGAUUGCUACCACAUUGCAGAUAGCCCCAUCUGCCCCCACGAAUCUUCAUGAAAAUCAAAAUAAAUACAUGGAAAGUA